UUACAUGGUUUAGCACAGGAGUGUCAGUCACAAAUGUACACUUAUCCUUGGACUUUUUAAACUCUUCUUUAUAACGGAUCUAAAAAAGAGAAUGAUUUACAUAAGAAGAGAAAAAGAAAAACAAUUCUAAUGGCCUUUUUUGAAUGAGAAUUAGGUUGAUAAAGUCCAUUUACUGAAGUAAAUACUCAAAUGUGAAAGGGGCCUCAAAACAAGCCAAGUUAAAUAAACGGAUAUCCAGCACAGGAUUGCAAAGAUGAUGAGGCAUAGUGAGGAAAGACCAUUCUUUAGAUAAGCGAGGGCCCAGUUAAGCAUCAACACCAGGCGUGCUGGCUACGGGUGAUGGGUCCUGUUUACGCAGCCUGCCCAGUGCAAUUAGCAAGCAUGUGCCAUCUCACUCCUACAAGUGUCCUGGUGUUUUGUUGCUUUUAAGCCUUGACAGGUAAGCCUUUGGCCAAAAAGAAACACAGCUGCCUACGUCAAGGUAGAAAACAAGUAGUCAGCAUGACAGAUGUGACCAAUUAGGAAGCAGAGGCAGAAAUUAAAUGGGGAUCCCUAUUAGUGUUCUUUUUUUUUUUUUUUUUUUUUUUUUUUUAGAGGGAAGAGUAUUUUAUUAGUUUGGAAUUAAUGGCUUGUCUCAGUGAUGGAGUCUUUUUUUUUUUUUUUUUUUUCUUAUGGAGGACAGGAAGGCUGUGAGGAAUAUUUUAUGCACAGUAAGGCUGUCUACCCUCUGUGUCGAACUGAAGAAGAAAAAUGGAGAAACUCAGCCUUGUAUGAGUUCCCUUCUCCCAGAGGCCGGGAACGUCCAUGUGUGUAGUGCUUUUGAUUAGAUCUGCUGUUUUGCCCAUGGCUGUUAUCCAUAAAAACACUCUUCUCAUACACAUCAUUCAAGCCUCUGUACAUGAUGCAGUUGCUUCUUUCUUUCUUUUUUUUUUUUUUUUUUUCCCAUCAAAGCCAAACAGGGUGGUGUUUUUCCUUAGUAAAACCCCUCUUCUCUUUGGUUCUAUGCCUGGCUCUUCCCAAGGUGCUUGGAAAGAAAGGAAAAAGCAUAGCUGCCUUCCUAUUAGUGUUCUUACCUAGACAUGCUUGAUUAGAGGAAGAGGCUUAAAUUCUGGCCACCCUGGGCUUCCUAUUACUAAUUCCUCCCAAUUUAUGAGCACCCAUAGGCUUCCCAAUCCUCCUCCCUGGCGCAGAGAAGAACUGAACCUGCCCAGAAAGCUUGCUAUGUGGUGGAGAUCAUUCCAGAAGGCCUUCUUGCUGGAGAUCAGCAAGAGAAAGCCCACUGAGGCUUAGCUAAGCCUGCACAUCUCUUCUCUGCAACUCACAAGUCAAACGACUCACUCUCUUUCCCUAUGGGGAGAGGCCAGAAUUGUUAUGCUGGGGGAAGACCCAGGUGGAUAUUUGAGCCCAAAAGAAGUCAGGAAAUGUGGAGAAGGACCUAAAAUAUAAUCACACUGUCACACUAAUUGCUGCACAAUCUGGAAACUGGGAAGGCAAAACUAUGACUCGUUGAGAAGAUGGAGCAAUGAUGUCAUUACCAAGGAAUAAGCCACCAUACUAAUGACGACAGAAUAGAAGGAAAGGAGCCUGGGAGACUGUUAACACCCAUAGUACCCAGACUGAACCACCUACCAACAGGCUGUAUAUGUGGAGGCUGGGGAAACAAAAACCUAUUUGCAUAAUCAUGGAGUCGGGAAGAGAUGAACACAAUCUGCUCUGGUAAGCUGAUAGGAGCCAGCGCCACACAGCACUGCGAGUAACAACAAAAGCCUAUAUCUAAUGUUAAAUGGACCAAGAAAUGCCAAUCAACCUGAGGCAAAUGUAAAUGGGCAUCUCAAGGUAUACAGUUAUGCCCUGCUGCUAUUCUGUUCCUUACCUGUAUGUUGAUGAACUCAUUCUAAAUGGUAAGAUUUCAAACUUAUUUGUGCUACACUUUUUCUACUGAUCACCAGACACUGAGAUCAUAAAAUUUGUGUUUGUGGCACUCUUUUUAUUUUUAAUUUUUUGGGUACACAGUAGGUAUACAGGGGUACAUGAAAUGUUUUGAUCCAGGCAUAUAAUGCGUAAUAAUCACAUCAUGGAGAAUGGGGUAUCCAUCCCCUCAAGCAUUUAUCCUUUGAGUUACAAACAAUCCAACUACACUCUUUGCAUUAUUUUAAAAUAUACAAUUAUUAUUGACAGUCACCCUGUUGCUAUCAAAUAGUAGGUUUCGUUCAUUCUAUUUUUUUUGUACCCUUUAACAGUUCCUACCUCCCCACCACCACCCCCAGUACCAUGCCCAGUCUCUGGUAACCAUCCUCCUACUCUCUAUGUCCAUGAGCUCAAUUGUUUUGAUUUUUAGAUUCUACAAAUAAGUGAGAACAUGCAAUGUUUGUCUUUCUGGGUGGCACUCUUAGUAAUUUAGAUGCCUCUAAGAUAUUGUACACACAAAUGAAGCAAAUGAAAUGGAAAAUACUUUUAAGAGGCAGAUUUUCUUGUACCAAAAUAGAGCCUGCCUUUUCUACAUAGCUGUCUUCACACCAAAAAGGAUUAAAACUUAAAAUUUUCUUUGAGUAGGAUCUAAUACAUAAAAAUUUAGAAUACAGUAAAUGCUAAUUGAAAAUAGUAUUACAGUAGUGACUUCUAUACUAUACAGUCUCUGAUUUGCAAAAAGCUAAUGAAGAUAAUUUACAGAAUAACUCAACAGUUCUCUCAAUUGGGCUAGAAUAUUAGGAGAAAUUCACCACAAAAUAUUGGAACAAUAAUAUAUAUAAAAGAAAUACAGAAUUGUCAGAGGAAACAAUUUAUAUAAUGGCUUUAAGUCUUAAAAUAAGGAACCUAAUACAGCCCUGAUCCAAAGCACAUAUAGUGAUACUUCUGCAGGAAAAAAAAGUGUUUUAUAGAAUUAUAAUACUUGUCUAGUAUCAAAGCUUAAUUAAAAUAGUGAAUAAACAUGUCCUUUGUAUUUCACUGUGUGUCAGCAAAAAUAUCCCCUUUUCAGCAAACUUUACACUUAGGUAAAAAUUUUGACAUAAAAAAGAUCCUCAGGGUAGGACUGUACUUUAAAAAGUUGAAUUUUGGGGGCAGUUUGUCAUGGAAAGUCUUAAAGCAGCUUCUCUGUGCUUUUCAGAUGGAUAGAUUUAGAAGAAAUGAAUUGAGGACAUACUUUUUUUAAAUCAUCUAUAUAGUUAAGCAAAAUUGUCAUUUUCAGCUCAAGGUUCAUACAAAAGCAGUAUUUCUUUUAUAUAUGUUAUCAUGGCUCUGACAAUUCUUUAUAGUAUUUAUCUGCCAUGAUUUGACAAAGAUUAUAACUAACUCAUGAGCUAUUUAAUCAUGUAGCUUCUACUUAAGUUCCUUAUGUUAUACUCAAAAACUGAAACACAUGCAUCAGAUGUCAUGAGGUUGUAGUCCACAAUGACUGAUGGCAGAACUGUAUUCUAUUUUUUGGCCUGGCAAAAACACUACAGCUGACCAGACAAGGAUGACUAAGGACAGAAGAGAUUUGAAGGCCGCUAAACCCUCACUGCAUGAACCAUAGUCAGAGAGACACUGUUUGAAAAGGAGCAAGCACUGUAAGUAGCACAUUUGGUGUGGGCAGUGGAAAGCAUGACACACAGAAGGUGUCCUAAGACCUACCUUCAAAAUCCCUACACUGUAAAAAAUUAGACCGAUCUUCCUAGUUCUAAGAUUGUAUGAUUACCAAAUUUAUCUACCUAUCUACUCAUCACCAAGGUACAAGGAAUUCAAAGAUGAAAACCUCAUCUAUUAACAAAUUCUUUUGUCAAACCACUUUUCUUGUUUGGAGUUUUUUGUUGUUUGUUUUGGCCAAAGGGGAUAGAAGUAACCUAUGCUAAAGAGUAGGCAUUGGCCAGGCAUGGUGGUUCAUGCCUGUAAUCCCAGCACUUUGGGAGGUCAGGGUGGGAGGAUGGCUUGAGCCCAGGAGUUCAAGACCAGCCUGGGCAACACAGCAAGACCCUGUCUCUAAAAUAGAAAAACUAACUGGCUGUGGUGUUGUGAGCUUGUAGUUCCAGCUACUCGGGAGGCUGAGGUGGGAGGAUUGCUUGAGUCUGGGAGGUGGAGACUGCAGUGAGCUGUAAUUGUGCCACUGCACUCCAGCCUGGGCAACAGAGCAAGAUCCUGUCUCAAAAAAUAAAAACAAAAUAUAAAGAGUAAGGAAAGAGUAAGCACUGCAGUAAGUCCUUUACAUAUCUCAUAAAACACUCAUAAACUCUCUGGAAAGUAAAUUCUAUCAGGAUCCCCAAACUGAAGUUCAAAGGUAGCAUGAACAAACUUAGAAUAUGAUCUUCUAUGUUGAUGUAUAUACCUGUUGUGAGCAUUCAACACUGUGAAAUGUAUAUACCUGUUGUGAGCAUUCAACACUGUGAAAAUGGCUGAAACCCACAAUUUAAAACUCUCUUUGUAUUAUGAUUACACUUCAGAAAAUAACCAGGUAUGCUUGAAUGGCCAAUAAAGUAUAGGACAUUUAUAAAACCUAUUCCUAUAUACAUCAAAAUAUUUUUAACUGUUAUAAAACCAUAGUCUUCAAACAACUACAAGGAUAUUCUCAUAGUCUAGUUUUAAAACUAGAGCAUUUAACUCAAGUACAUAUAAAUAAGAAAGUGUAAGUGGAUUUUAUAUGUACAUAAAAUAGGGACGUAUUCCCAAGGCAUGGGAAAUCAUCAGCGAUGUAGCUAUCCUUAGUGUAUUCAUGACUAUGUGUUCCAAAAUCGAUAUAAACAUAAUCAGUGGGAAAUUAAAUUCUGAUAGAGCCAAGAGUAUGACUUUGAAAAGCUUUUAAGCAUUUAUCUCCACAAUGAUCUCAUGAGGAGUUCAAGCUUGCUUUUCAAGCAACGACACCGUCAAAGGUUCUAAAAAGCAGUUAUUUAUCAUAGUAUUCAAUCUUUUGCAAAAAUUUCUUGGCAGUUUGACUCAAUAUAAGAAAAAUAAGUUUUCGUGUAAUCACAAAUGGGGAAAUAAAUUAUUAUCUUAAACACCACCUUUAUCUCCCAAUUUAAUUAACAUUCUCCCUCUUAAGGUUAGAAUAAUAACUUGUCUUAUUCUUCACACUAACAUAUUUUAGUUUUUCUGCAAAUAUGAAUGUAAAUGUAAAAACAUGAAAAUUACUUUUAAAAAUAAACUAGAUAACCAACACAACUAUUUUUUAUAUUGCUUCUGUUUUACAGUUUCAGUUCUAUUACCAUGUCUCAGAGGAAUGCUCACAGAUGUGCCUUGCAAGAAGAGCAAGUCAAUGGCAUUGCUAUGUUUGAAAUAAAAAUACACAUUGCUUGAGUGUACAUUAUGUUCAAUAUUUGCUUUAAAAUACCUGUACUUGGACUAUAUAUAAAUCCAUACAUUAGGUAUUAUAAGAAAUAUAAAACUGAAUAAAAUGUAGCCUUUCAUACUCAAGGCUCUUCUAACCUAUGAGUAGAGAUAAAGCACUUCGAGAAUAUAACAAAGUCGUCAGAGAAUUAGAGAGUGCUGUAAAGGUUCAGAAGAUGGAAAGAAUCCCAAAUAUUAGGAAGACUCCAAAGUUUCAUGAACAUUGCUUUUGAUCUGCACAUCAUGAAGAUGAAUCUGUUUUUCAGAAGUGAGAAUAGGGAGGUCAGAAGACGUAUCACACACAAGGACAAGAGAAUCGCCAUACUGGCUGGACGUGGUGGCUCACACCUGUAAUCCCAGCACUUUGGGAGGCCAAUUGCUUGAGGUCAGGAUUUUAAGACCAGCCUGGCAAACAUGGUGAAACCCAAUCUCCACUAAAAAUACAAAAAUUAUUCAGGCAUGGUGGUGUGUGCCUUAGUCCCAGCUACCUGGGAGGCUGAGGCAGGAGAAUUGCUUGAAGCCAGGGUGGAGGUUGUAGUGAGCUGAGAUCGCACAGCACUCCAGCAUGGGUGACAGAGAGAGACUCUGUCUUAAAAAAAAAAAAAAAAAAAAAAUUGCCCCACUAUGACCCCCAUGAGGAACAAGUUCAGCAUGGGAUAGGGAAAGUGAAGGAGUAAAGAUUGAAGGAAAGGCAGAAUGGAGACAGCUUCAAAUGUCAAGCCAACAACUGCAUAUAUAAUUCAAUCAAAUCUCGAGUGACAACGUUUUAACCAGGGGAGUGACAUACAAAUCCAAUAUAGAAAGAGUAAUAUAGGUGCAAAGUAAGUAGGAAAUGCUGAAAUGAUAGGAAAAAGAUAUCAGAAGACGUCUGCAAAAUGACCUAGAGGCCGGCAAGAGAUAAAGACUUAUACUGGAUUCAUGAAAGUGGUUAAGAUUUGAGAGAUAUUAAAAAUGUAAACAGAGCAAUAGAUAACAUGUGAAGAAUGAGAAAAGAAAGUUUGUGUUGAGAUACUGUAAGUUGUUUUUGUUUGUUUGUUUUUAGACACACGGUCUCAUUCAGUCAGUCACCCAGGCUGGAGCGCAGUGGCACAAUCGUAGCGCAUUGCAGCCUCAACUCCUAGGCUCAAGUGAUCCUCCCACUUCCGCCUCCUGGAGUAGCUAGGACUACAGGCACACACCACCACACCCAGCUAAUUUUUUUUUAAGUUUUUUUGGUAGACACAGGGUCUCACUAUGUUGCCCAGUCUGGUUUCAAGCUCCUGGCCUCAAAUGAUCCUCCUGUCUCAGCCUCCCAAAGUACUCAUAUUACAGGCAUGAGCCACCAUGCCCUGCUGUAAAUUGUUUUGAACAGAGGGUGAAAUAGACUCAGGGAGGAGCAUACUGAGUCUGAAAUAGAACAUCCAGGUGGAAGAUCAGCCAUCACUGAGAGCUGCACAAAGGUUAUGAUUAGAGCAUUGACUCAGCUUAGAGAAGGGAGUAAGAGUUCAGAGAGCCACAGGCAAUUCCUAAAGUGAAGAGAACAAUUUUGAAAGGCACCUGCUGAAGAAAACCAAUUAUUCAUCCCUAAAAGGCACUGCCGAUCCUUCACAUUGAACAUCAGAAAAGGUACACUCCUGAAACAAGGUCUCCUAUGGGACAAAGAAAAACUCUAUUCUGUUUUCUUAAACCACUUUAAUGGAAUGCUUCAUUAAUCAUUCUCAGUAAACUAUCGCAAGGACAAAAAACCAAACACCGCAUGUUCUCACUCAUAGGUGGGAA
Symphalangus syndactylus (siamang) is the source of this 7053-nucleotide long non-coding RNA. RefSeq lists it as uncharacterized. NCBI's taxonomy places the organism in Eukaryota, Metazoa, Chordata, Mammalia, Primates, Hylobatidae. The record is from RefSeq and is a predicted model, not a curated record.